CCUACGGGGGGCAGCAGUAGGGAAUAUUGCUCAAUGGGGGAAACCCUGAAGCAGCAACGCCGCGUGGAGGAUGAAGGUUUUCGGAGUGUAAACUCCUUUUGUUAGAGAAGAGAAUGACGGUAGCUAACGAAUAAGGACCGGCUAACGCCGUGCCAGCAGCCGCGGUAAGACGGAGGGUGCAAGCGUUACUCGGAAUCACUGGGCGUAAAGAGCGCGUAGGCGGGAUAGCAAGUCAGAUGUGAAAUCCUAGGGCUUAACCAUAGAACUGCAUUUGAAACUGUUAUUCUAGAGUAUGGGAGAGGUAGGUGGAAUUCUUGGUGUAGGGGUCAACUCCUU
Molecule: ribosomal RNA, 336 nt
Filed under: uncultured bacterium
Lineage: Bacteria
Description: partial 16S ribosomal RNA
Rfam family: Bacterial small subunit ribosomal RNA
Source: RNAcentral